CAAAAGUAAUGCAAUAAUGUUAGUAAUAAAAUUUGAAGUGAUUGAUUCGUGUUAAGUGCUAUCCUAAGUAAUUCACAUUUGUUAAGUACUUUAGCUGUUAGAGACUUCCCUGGUGGCUCAGACGGUAAAGAACCCGCCUGCAAUGCAGGAGACCCAGGUUUGAUCCCUGGGUCAAGAAAGUCCCCUAGAGAAGAGAAUGGCUACUCCCCUCCACCCCUAGUAUCCUUGCAGUAUCCUUGCCUGAAGAAUCUGAUGGACAGAGGAGCCUAGUGGGCUGCAGUCCAUGAGUUCACGAUGAGUCAGAUAUGACUGAGCAACUAACUUUUUAGAUAUGAGAACAAUCUACUGAGAGUUCAAGGGGCAGGACACGUCGUGACAGGACAGGAAUCCUUUUGUGGUCGGUGGGCAAAGGCAGUGAAGAGCCAGGUCAGCUCUCCUCUCUGUGGUUGCUGGUUUCAUCUCGCGGACCCAGACCCGGUAGCGUACGGAGAUGCUCCACUCAGCUGGGAGACCUCACGGUGCAUGCAGGGACUUGUUCCAGCAGAGAUCCAGAAUGCAACGUUUCCGGGUCGAGUUGGACAGGAAAGGAUUUAAAUCGAGGUCAUGAGGCUGAGUCACCAGCCCAUACCGAAAGAACCAACAGGAGUCAUUGCAAGCUGACGUAAUUUAUUCUUUCUGGAUAGAACCACAAGUCUCCUCACAGCCAGGCACGGAAAUUGAUGGUCCCACAAGGAGCAAGUUUAGGAAGGAAGGGAACAGUUUCACCUAUACUCAUCUAGAUAUGGGGCUGAACUUUGAGACUAAUUAUCUCCUCUGGAAGCCUGCUAAAACAGGAGGCACAGGCCAGAGCUCAGAGAUUCACUAAUCUCCCUGGAAAGGAGAGAAAUGUCAGGAAGACAGUCUUCCAGAGAAAAGUAACAUCCUCUCAGGAAACAAUGACAAGCAUGGGAACCACUUCAAUCAAGUUUUAAUACAAUGCCCUUCUCCUUCUCAAAGUAGAUUUGGGAGGUUUCCAGAAUAAACUGAUCAUCCUUGGAGAAUAAAUUAAACUUUGAAUUUUUCCAAUCCAGGUCAGCUUUCCUCCAUGCUGGGUCCUGGUGAGGGUUUUACUGUAGAGACCAGGAGGACCCUCCAAUUCAGAAUUGUCCUCCAGAAGAGCUAUCACUGGAUCAUUUACCAACAACAAAGUCUGAAAUCUGAGCCUAUUUGAAGAGAGAGUGUUUCUGAAAGACUGGGGUGUCAUCAAUAAUAGGUGCUCCAAGCGUGCAUGGAGGCUGUUUCUUUCCUGAGUACCACCCAAUCCCAGGAAAGUCUUGGGAUGAUGACUACUUGCCUUCCUUCAGGCACAGAACUAGACACAGGAUGCAACGAUGAAUAAGAUAGGCCUCGCCCUCCAAGAUCUUGUAGAUGCGUAGGGAAGACACGUGUAGAAAUAGGCACAGGGAAGUUUCCUGGUGGUCCAGGGGCUAAGACUCUGUGCACCCAGUGCAGGGGCCCAGGGUUUGAUCCCUGGUCAGGGAACUAGAUCCCACAUGCCACAUCUAAGACCCAGGGUAGCCAAGUAAAUAAACUAAUUUUUAAAAAACAGGCAAAAUCAGAGUACCAUGCUCAAUGAUUAAAGCAGGCAGCCAGGCCUGAAGAUGAGAGAAAUGUCGUUGCUGCUCUCUGUGGUGGAAAAACAGCGUAAGGAAAAGGAGACUUAAAGAGCUGCGCUUUAAGGAUGGACAUAAGUUCCAUCCUUUGGAUGGUCAGGUCCACCCAUUGGAUUCCAAGUUUGUGUCUAGAAUCCUGUCCUGAGCUACCUCUUCACCAAAAAGACAGAGUAGGUAUCUCCUGUGUGGCAGAAAAUUAACACUUGCAUUCAUAGAGCUGAGAUUCACUGGUCCUAAGAUUAAAG
Molecule: long non-coding RNA, 1897 nt
Organism: Capra hircus (goat)
Lineage: Eukaryota; Metazoa; Chordata; Mammalia; Artiodactyla; Bovidae
Source: Ensembl